GGUGAGGUGCCUGAGUAAAGGGCUAUUUUGAUAGAAUAGAUUAAGCAUUAAGCCCUCAUUA
RNAcentral lists this transfer RNA (61 nucleotides) under Bostrichoidea sp. 5 KM-2017. RNAcentral describes it as "tRNA-Ile". The record is from RNAcentral. Lineage: Eukaryota; Metazoa; Arthropoda; Insecta; Coleoptera.